AACGAACGCUGGCGGCAGGCCUAACACAUGCAAGUCGAGCGCGCCUUCGGGUGAGCGGCGGACGGGUGAGUACCGCGUGGGAAUAUGCCCUUCUCUACGGAAUAGUCCUGGGAAACUGGGGGUAAUACCGUAUACGCCCUUUGGGGGAAAGAUUUAUCGGGGAAGGAUUAGCCCGCGUUGGAUUAGGUAGUUGGUGGGGUAAUGGCCUACCAAGCCGACGAUCCAUAGCUGGUUUGAGAGGAUGAUCAGCUACACUGGGACUGAGACACGGCCCAGACUCCUACGGGAGGCAGCAGUGGGGAAUCUUAGACAAUGGGGGCAACCCUGAUCUAGCCAUGCCGCGUGAGUGAUGAAGGCCUUAGGGUUGUAAAGCUCUUUCAGCUGGGAAGAUAAUGACGGUACCAGCAGAAGAAGCCCCGGCUAACUCCGUG
Molecule: ribosomal RNA, 431 nt
Filed under: uncultured bacterium
Lineage: Bacteria
Description: partial 16S ribosomal RNA
Rfam family: Bacterial small subunit ribosomal RNA
Source: RNAcentral